UGUGUGAUACACACAGACACACACACAAACAUAUAUUUUUAAUACAAGAACAUUUUAGAGAAGGAAAAGUUUGGCUCACAGUUUCAGCGGUUGACUUCGUGGUGGGCAGAUUCCAUUGCUCUGAGCCCACUGCUAAGCAGAACAUCAUAGCUGAAGGAUGUGGCAACCAGGAAGCAGAGAGGAAUAAAAAGGGAGUGUAAGAGGAGCCAGAGACAAAAUAUAUAAUCCCCAAGGCAUGUCUCCACUUCAGUGGGUCCACUUCUUCCAGCCACACACCACCUGCCUACAGUUACUACACAGAAAUCUGUGCAAAUUAACAAUCCGUCUAAUGGAUUAAUCCUCUGAUCAGGUUAUGGCUAUUAUGAUCUAAUCAUUUCACCCCUGCAUUAACACAGGAACCUCUGGGGGAUGCCUUUACCUUAUAUCCAAACCAUAACAAUAGUAUAUAUACUUCAAGCUCUUUGUUUUUCAGGAGUGGAGACUCUUUCUGAUUAAUGGUAUGCUUUUGCAAGAUGACCAGAUCUCAUGGAGGUCAAAUCUUCUCCAUCUGCCUAAUGUGACCUGGGAGGCUACAGAACAAAGCAGAAACUCCUUGGUGUGGCCUCGAAGACCUCCAUGAGGGCCCCAGUAUGAAGAUUUUGCUUCACCAAGAAUUAAUAAGAUUAAUUAAAUAAUUAAUAAUAAAUAAAAACAGUUUUGGAUUUUGA
Molecule: non-coding RNA, 707 nt
Organism: Ictidomys tridecemlineatus (thirteen-lined ground squirrel)
Lineage: Eukaryota; Metazoa; Chordata; Mammalia; Rodentia; Sciuridae
Source: RefSeq, a predicted model, not a curated record